Molecule: ribosomal RNA, 816 nt
Filed under: Microbacterium sp. P1-5+2
Lineage: Bacteria; Bacillati; Actinomycetota; Actinomycetes; Micrococcales; Microbacteriaceae
Description: bacterial SSU rRNA
Rfam family: Bacterial small subunit ribosomal RNA
Source: RNAcentral
UGUCGCGUCUGCUGGUGAAAUCCCGAGGCUCAACCUCGGGCCCUUCAGUGUGUACGGGCAGACUAGAGUGCGGUAGGGGAGAUUGGAAUUCCUGGUGUAGCGGUGGAAUGCGCAGAUAUCAGGAGGAACACCGAUGGGCGAAGGCAGAUCUCUGGGCCGUAACUGACGCUGAGGAGCGAAAGGGUGGGGAGCAAACAGGCUUAGAUACCCUGGUAGUCCACCCCGUAAACGUUGGGAACUAGUUGUGGGGUCCAUUCCACGGAUUCCGUGACGCAGCUAACGCAUUAAGUUCCCCGCCUGGGGAGUACGGCCGCAAGGCUAAAACUCAAAGGAAUUGACGGGGACCCGCACAAGCGGCGGAGCAUGCGGAUUAAUUCGAUGCAACGCGAAGAACCUUACCAAGGCUUGACAUAUACGAGAACGGGCCAGAAAUGGUCAACUCUUUGGACACUCGUAAACAGGUGGUGCAUGGUUGUCGUCAGCUCGUGUCGUGAGAUGUUGGGUUAAGUCCCGCAACGAGCGCAACCCUCGUUCUAUGUUGCCAGCACGUAAUGGUGGGAACUCAUGGGAUACUGCCGGGGUCAACUCGGAGGAAGGUGGGGAUGACGUCAAAUCAUCAUGCCCCUUAUGUCUUGGGCUUCACGCAUGCUACAAUGGCCGGUACAAAGGGCUGCAAUACCGUGAGGUGGAGCGAAUCCCAAAAAGCCGGUCCCAGUUCGGAUUGAGGUCUGCAACUCGACCUCAUGAAGUCGGAGUCGCUAGUAAUCGCAGAUCAGCAACGCUGCGGUGAAUACGUUCCCGGGUCUUGUACACACC